GCUGUCUCUGGCAGCAUAUACACUAAAACUGGAACAGUACAGAGAUUAGCACCACCUUGUACAGGAUGAAACAAAAAUUUGUGAAACAUUCUAUAUCUUU
Molecule: small nuclear RNA, 100 nt
Filed under: Nannospalax galili (Upper Galilee mountains blind mole rat)
Lineage: Eukaryota; Metazoa; Chordata; Mammalia; Rodentia; Spalacidae
Source: RNAcentral